CUAACAAGGUCUCCGUUGGUGAACCAGCGGAGGGAUCAUUA
This 41-nucleotide ribosomal RNA is filed under the name Trichoderma asperellum. RNAcentral's name for it is "partial 18S ribosomal RNA". The record is from RNAcentral. RNAcentral also lists the same sequence under 1 other name. Lineage: Eukaryota; Fungi; Ascomycota; Sordariomycetes; Hypocreales; Hypocreaceae.